CAUGACUCUUCAGAGGCUCUUCAGGUUCUCCUCUGUCAUUCUGUCAGCAGUCUCAGUCCAUUUGUGGAGGAACAUCAGUGUUACAGCAGUGGCAUUUAAUAAGGAACUUGAUCCUAUACAGAAACUCUUGUGGACAAGAUUAGAGAAUACAAAUCGAAGUGACAGACAUCUGGAGGACCUGUUGAUACUGGUCCAGAGUAUCAGCAAGAGCUUGAGAGGGAGCUUUUUAAGUUCAAGCAAAUGUUUGGUAAAACAGACAUGAAUACAUUUCCCAACUUCAAAUUUGAAGAUCCCAAAUCUGAAGUCAUCGAAAAACCCC
RNAcentral lists this long non-coding RNA (319 nucleotides) under Homo sapiens (human). RNAcentral's name for it is "non-protein coding lnc-GNAZ-4:1". Lineage: Eukaryota; Metazoa; Chordata; Mammalia; Primates; Hominidae. The record is from RNAcentral.